RNAcentral lists this ribosomal RNA (460 nucleotides) under uncultured bacterium. Its description in RNAcentral is "partial 16S ribosomal RNA". It matches the Rfam family "Bacterial small subunit ribosomal RNA", at positions 338 to 795 of the family's 1533-position model. The record is from RNAcentral.
CCUACGGGAGGCAGCAGUGAGGAAUAUUGGUCAAUGGACGAGAGUCUGAACCAGCCAAGUAGCGUGAAGGAUGACUGCCCUAUGGGUUGUAAACUUCUUUUAUAUGGGAAUAAAACGUUCCACGUGUGGGAUUUUGUAUGUACCAUAUUAAUAAGGAUCGGCUAACUCCGUGCCAGCAGCCGCGGUAAUACGGAGGAUCCGAGCGUUAUCCGGAUUUAUUGGGUUUAAAGGGAGCGUAGGUGGAUUGUUAAGUCAGUUGUGAAAGUUGGCGGCUAAACCGUAAAAUUGCAGUUGAAACUGGCAGUCUUGAGUACAGUAGAGGUGGGCGGAAUUAGUGGUGGAGCGGUGAAAUGCUUAGAUAUCACGAAGAACUCCGAUUGCGAAGGCAGUUCACUGGACUGCAACUGACACUGAGGCUCGAAAGUGUGGGUAUCAAACAGGAUUAGAUACCCGAGUAGUC